Molecule: long non-coding RNA, 137 nt
Filed under: Capra hircus (goat)
Lineage: Eukaryota; Metazoa; Chordata; Mammalia; Artiodactyla; Bovidae
Description: lncRNA (ENSCHIG00010021925.1)
Source: RNAcentral
AUAACUCUGGCUGCCUGUCAUUGCUUUUCAGCACAGCGCGUGUGAGUUAACCAGCCUGCACCAGGCCACUGAGACCAGCUUUGUAGUAUCUACAUGGUGAAUAUUCUCUUCAGACAUCGCAAAACAGCUCAGCAUGU